GCACCCGUAGCUCAGUGGAUUAGAGCACUGGUCUUCGGAACCAGGUGUCGCUAGUUCGAAUCUAGCCGGGUGUACCA
RNAcentral lists this transfer RNA (77 nucleotides) under Chloroflexota bacterium. Its description in RNAcentral is "Chloroflexi bacterium tRNA-Arg". It matches the Rfam family "tRNA". From Rfam's summary of the family: Transfer RNA (tRNA) molecules are approximately 80 nucleotides in length. The record is from RNAcentral. RNAcentral also lists the same sequence under 1 other name. Lineage: Bacteria; Bacillati; Chloroflexota.